ACCACUAUAUGCAUCAAUUAUGAACCACACUUCACUUUGACAUGGAAGUGAUCUAAUCACUUCGGUGAAGCAUAACCCACCAAUAUCGCUCUCUGAUUACUUGUAAUUACUUACAAUCGGCCUCCCGCAGCACCCGUUGCUCGGUUCGGCCCGAACUCGCACUCGACCACGAAACGACCACCAAUCUACGAUCCGAAAAUUUAA
RNAcentral lists this long non-coding RNA (204 nucleotides) under Ananas comosus (pineapple). RNAcentral describes it as "long non-coding RNA (ACOM_LNC011921)". Lineage: Eukaryota; Viridiplantae; Streptophyta; Magnoliopsida; Poales; Bromeliaceae. The record is from RNAcentral.